This 75-nucleotide transfer RNA is filed under the name Pyrinomonadaceae bacterium. Its description in RNAcentral is "tRNA-Leu". It matches the Rfam family "tRNA". From Rfam's summary of the family: Transfer RNA (tRNA) molecules are approximately 80 nucleotides in length. Their secondary structure includes four short double-helical elements and three loops (D, anti-codon, and T loops). Further hydrogen bonds mediate the characteristic L-shaped molecular structure. tRNAs have two regions of fundamental functional importance: the anti-codon, which is responsible for specific mRNA codon recognition, and the 3' end, to which the tRNAs corresponding amino acid is attached (by aminoacyl-tRNA synthetases). tRNAs cope with the degeneracy of the genetic code in two manners: having more than one tRNA (with a specific anti-codon) for a particular amino acid; and 'wobble' base-pairing, i.e. permitting non-standard base-pairing at the 3rd anti-codon position. The record is from RNAcentral. Lineage: Bacteria; Pseudomonadati; Acidobacteriota; Blastocatellia; Blastocatellales; Pyrinomonadaceae.
GCGCGUGUCGCUCAAUCUGGCAGAAGCAACGGUUUUAAGCAUCGUUCAGUGCGAGUUCAAAUCUCGUCACGCGCA